UCUCCUGGUUUUAAUGCUAGAAUUGUAAACUCUGAAACAAAAUAGAGUAUCUUCUUUUCUAACUUGGUUUCUGUAAUACCAACAGAGAUAAAAUCCCAUUGUGACAUACAUACUCUUCUGUUUCCUAGACAUAAGAUUUCCACUUCUUUUGGGUCAAAUCAUACAUUAUUAAUCAAUUUCUAGAGAAAAUUAUCUGAUUAAGAUUCCUAUUAAUUAAAAAAUUCCUUCUUUCAUAUUACUCACUUUUCUAAGUUUGUGUGCAGUUUGAGUCAAGUAGUGCUGGGUUCAGUACACUUCUUGUUUUGUUUUUCAGCUACUUAUUUCAGAAUAAAUCAAUUUGGCAUCUGGAAAUCUGAAGUGUUUUGUCACUAGAGCUUAUGCCUGUUGCUCAAAUCAGAACAGAGGGACCAUGUUUUUUCAAAAGGAUAAUGUCAAGAUCAUGGUCAUUUCAGAACAACAGUUUACAGUCUGGAGCGGUGACUGUUCCAUGGAUCUCAGAAUAACAGAUUAUCCCUGUGUUCAUCCAGACACAAACUGGAAGAUGUUUGCUAAUACAGCUCACUAAUUACAAUUUCCUCCCCCUCAAAAUUAGUUAUUUCCAUUAUUGUUUCAAUUUAUAAUUUUUCAAAUAAAAACUUUCCCUCUAUUUAGUAGA
Molecule: long non-coding RNA, 655 nt
Organism: Pipra filicauda (Wire-tailed manakin)
Lineage: Eukaryota; Metazoa; Chordata; Aves; Passeriformes; Pipridae
Exons: 2
Source: RefSeq, a predicted model, not a curated record